GAUUAAGUUAUUAAGGGCGCACGGUGGAUGCCUUGGCACUAGAAGCCGAUGAAGGACGUUACUAACGACGAUAUGCUUUGGGGAGCUGUAAGUAAGCUUUGAUCCAGAGAUUUCCGAAUGGGGAAACCCAGCACAAGUUAUGUUGUGUUAUCGACAUGUGAAUACAUAGCAUGUUAGAAGGCAGACCCGGAGAACUGAAACAUCUUAGUACCCGGAGGAAGAGAAAGAAAAUUCGAUUCCCUUAGUAGCGGCGAGCGAAACGGGAAGAGCCCAAACCAACAAGCUUGCUUGUUGGGGUUGUAGGACACUCUAUACGGAGUUACAAAGGACGACAUUAGACGAAUCAUCUGGAAAGAUGAAUCAAAGAAGGUAAUAAUCCUGUAGUCGAAAAUGUUGUCUCUCUUGAGUGGAUCCUGAGUACGACGGAGCACGUGAAAUUCCGUCGGAAUCUGGGAGGACCAUCUCCUAAGGCUAAAUACUCUCUAGUGACCGAUAGUGAACCAGUACCGUGAGGGAAAGGUGAAAAGCACCCCGGAAGGGGAGUGAAAUAGAACCUGAAACCGUGUGCUUACAAGUAGUCAGAGCCCGUUAAUGGGUGAUGGCGUGCCUUUUGUAGAAUGAACCGGCGAGUUACGAUUUGAUGCAAGGUUAAGCAGUAAAUGUGGAGCCGUAGCGAAAGCGAGUCUGAAUAGGGCGUUUAGUAUUUGGUCGUAGACCCGAAACCAGGUGAUCUACCCUUGGUCAGGUUGAAGUUCAGGUAACACUGAAUGGAGGACCGAACCGACUUACGUUGAAAAGUGAGCGGAUGAACUGAGGGUAGCGGAGAAAUUCCAAUCGAACCUGGAGAUAGCUGGUUCUCUCCGAAAUAGCUUUAGGGCUAGCCUCAAGUGAUGAUUAUUGGAGGUAGAGCACUGUUUGGACGAGGGGCCCCUCUCGGGUUACCGAAUUCAGACAAACUCCGAAUGCCAAUUAAUUUAACUUGGGAGUCAGAACAUGGGUGAUAAGGUCCGUGUUCGAAAGGGAAACAGCCCAGACCACCAGCUAAGGUCCCAAAAUAUAUGUUAAGUGGAAAAGGAUGUGGCGUUGCCCAGACAACUAGGAUGUUGGCUUAGAAGCAGCCAUCAUUUAAAGAGUGCGUAAUAGCUCACUAGUCGAGUGACACUGCGCCGAAAAUGUACCGGGGCUAAACAUAUUACCGAAGCUGUGGAUUGUCCUUUGGACAAUGGUAGGAGAGCGUUCUAAGGGCGUUGAAGCAUGAUCGCAAGGACAUGUGGAGCGCUUAGAAGUGAGAAUGCCGGUGUGAGUAGCGAAAGACGGGUGAGAAUCCCGUCCACCGAUUGACUAAGGUUUCCAGAGGAAGGCUCGUCCGCUCUGGGUUAGUCGGGUCCUAAGCUGAGGCCGACAGGCGUAGGCGAUGGAUAACAGGUUGAUAUUCCUGUACCACCUAUAAUCGUUUUAAUCGAUGGGGGGACGCAGUAGGAUAGGCGAAGCGUGCGAUUGGAUUGCACGUCUAAGCAGUAAGGCUGAGUAUUAGGCAAAUCCGGUACUCGUUAAGGCUGAGCUGUGAUGGGGAGAAGACAUUGUGUCUUCGAGUCGUUGAUUUCACACUGCCGAGAAAAGCCUCUAGAUAGAAAAUAGGUGCCCGUACCGCAAACCGACACAGGUAGUCAAGAUGAGAAUUCUAAGGUGAGCGAGCGAACUCUCGUUAAGGAACUCGGCAAAAUGACCCCGUAACUUCGGGAGAAGGGGUGCUCUUUAGGGUUAACGCCCAGAAGAGCCGCAGUGAAUAGGCCCAAGCGACUGUUUAUCAAAAACACAGGUCUCUGCUAAACCGUAAGGUGAUGUAUAGGGGCUGACGCCUGCCCGGUGCUGGAAGGUUAAGAGGAGUGGUUAGCUUCUGCGAAGCUACGAAUCGAAGCCCCAGUAAACGGCGGCCGUAACUAUAACGGUCCUAAGGUAGCGAAAUUCCUUGUCGGGUAAGUUCCGACCCGCACGAAAGGCGUAACGAUUUGGGCACUGUCUCAACGAGAGACUCGGUGAAAUCAUAGUACCUGUGAAGAUGCAGGUUACCCGCGACAGGACGGAAAGACCCCGUGGAGCUUUACUGUAGCCUGAUAUUGAAAUUCGGCACAGCUUGUACAGGAUAGGUAGGAGCCUUUGAAACGUGAGCGCUAGCUUACGUGGAGGCGCUGGUGGGAUACUACCCUAGCUGUGUUGGCUUUCUAACCCGCACCACUUAUCGUGGUGGGAGACAGUGUCAGGCGGGCAGUUUGACUGGGGCGGUCGCCUCCUAAAAGGUAACGGAGGCGCUCAAAGGUUCCCUCAGAAUGGUUGGAAAUCAUUCAUAGAGUGUAAAGGCAUAAGGGAGCUUGACUGCGAGACCUACAAGUCGAGCAGGGUCGAAAGACGGACUUAGUGAUCCGGUGGUUCCGCAUGGAAGGGCCAUCGCUCAACGGAUAAAAGCUACCCCGGGGAUAACAGGCUUAUCUCCCCCAAGAGUCCACAUCGACGGGGAGGUUUGGCACCUCGAUGUCGGCUCAUCGCAUCCUGGGGCUGUAGUCGGUCCCAAGGGUUGGGCUGUUCGCCCAUUAAAGCGGUACGCGAGCUGGGUUCAGAACGUCGUGAGACAGUUCGGUCCCUAUCCGUCGUGGGCGUAGGAAAUUUGAGAGGAGCUGUCCUUAGUACGAGAGGACCGGGAUGGACAUACCUCUGGUGUACCAGUUGUCGUGCCAACGGCAUAGCUGGGUAGCUAUGUGUGGACGGGAUAAGUGCUGAAAGCAUCUAAGCAUGAAGCCCCCCUCAAGAUGAGAUUUCCCAACUUCGGUUAUAAGAUCCCUCAAAGAUGAUGAGGUUAAUAGGUUCGAGGUGGAAGCAUGGUGACAUGUGGAGCUGACGAAUACUAAUCGAUCGAAGACUUAAUCAA
Molecule: ribosomal RNA, 2923 nt
Filed under: Escherichia coli
Lineage: Bacteria; Pseudomonadati; Pseudomonadota; Gammaproteobacteria; Enterobacterales; Enterobacteriaceae
Description: 23S ribosomal RNA
Rfam family: Bacterial large subunit ribosomal RNA
Source: RNAcentral